GACUCUCGGCAACGGAUAUCUCGGCUCUUGCAUCGAUGAAGAACGUAGCGAAAUGCGAUACUUGGUGUGAAUUGCAGAAUCCCGUGAACCAUCGAGUCUUUGAACGCAAGUUGCGCCCGAGGCCUUUUGGUCGAGGGCACGUCUGCCUGGGCGUCA
Molecule: ribosomal RNA, 156 nt
Filed under: Thalictrum elegans
Lineage: Eukaryota; Viridiplantae; Streptophyta; Magnoliopsida; Ranunculales; Ranunculaceae
Description: 5.8S ribosomal RNA
Rfam family: 5.8S ribosomal RNA
About the family: 5.8S ribosomal RNA (5.8S rRNA) is a component of the large subunit of the eukaryotic ribosome. It is transcribed by RNA polymerase I as part of the 45S precursor that also contains 18S and 28S rRNA.
Source: RNAcentral